UCUGUGUGAGCGUGUUGUUCAGAACAUCGGUGGGUUUCUUCUUCCCGCUGGACAUUGGUUCAUCUGCCGGUUGCUACAGAAACUGACUGAAAGACAUCAACAGAUUGUGGUGGACCUUCUCGUUUCCCAGCAGGUGAACCCUCGUGGCCGCUACUUCCCGUUUCCUGCAGAAUGUUUUCUUCUUUCAGGUCGACGUCAGCAUGAGCUCUCAGACGACUCCCGGACCUUUGGUUCAAACAUCAACAGAAAGUGCUGCUACUUUUUCGGACCUCGUCACAAAGAUCGGGAGAAAGGACAUCUACAGCAGCAGUGAAGAUUUUGCAAUCUUGAUCGGAGCACAAUCUUGUAUUCUGCACAGAACUGUGAAUCUUGAAUUGCGUACAGACGAAGUCGGUUUCAGAGCAGAAAGGUACGAGAGUCUCGAAAGAGUUAUCAACUGGAAUUAUUAAAUUUUUAUGAAGUUCUAAAUUUAAG
Molecule: long non-coding RNA, 474 nt
Organism: Cololabis saira (Pacific saury)
Lineage: Eukaryota; Metazoa; Chordata; Actinopteri; Beloniformes; Belonidae
Exons: 4
Source: RefSeq, a predicted model, not a curated record